AUUGAACGCUGGCGGCAGGCUUAACACAUGCAAGUCGAGCGGGGUGAUGGUGCUUGCACUAUCACUUAGCGGCGGACGGGUGAGUAAUGCUUAGGAAUCUGCCUAUUAGUGGGGGACAACAUCUCGAAAGGGAUGCUAAUACCGCAUACGUCCUACGGGAGAAAGCAGGGGAUCACUGGUGACCUUGCGCUAAUAGAUGAGCCUAAGUCGGAUUAGCUAGUUGGUGGGGUAAAGGCCUACCAAGGCGACGAUCUGUAGCGGGUCUGAGAGGAUGUUCCGCCACACUGGGACUGAGACACGGCCCAGACUCCUACGGGAGGAAGCAGUGGGGAAUAUUGGACAAUGGGGGGAACCCUGAUCCAGCCAUGCCGCGUGUGUGAAGAAGGCCUUAUGGUUGUAAAGCACUUUAAGCGAGGAGGAGGCUCUUUUGGUUAAUACCCAAGAUGAGUGGACGUUACUCGCAGAAUAAGCACCGGCUAACUCUGUGCCAGCCGCCGCCGUAA
This 503-nucleotide ribosomal RNA is filed under the name uncultured bacterium. RNAcentral describes it as "partial 16S ribosomal RNA". It matches the Rfam family "Bacterial small subunit ribosomal RNA", at positions 30 to 523 of the family's 1533-position model. The record is from RNAcentral.